Molecule: ribosomal RNA, 164 nt
Filed under: Pseudolotus villosus
Lineage: Eukaryota; Viridiplantae; Streptophyta; Magnoliopsida; Fabales; Fabaceae
Description: 5.8S ribosomal RNA
Rfam family: 5.8S ribosomal RNA
About the family: 5.8S ribosomal RNA (5.8S rRNA) is a component of the large subunit of the eukaryotic ribosome. It is transcribed by RNA polymerase I as part of the 45S precursor that also contains 18S and 28S rRNA.
Source: RNAcentral
AUAAUGACUCUCGGCAACGGAUAUCUCGGCUCUCGCAUCGAUGAAGAACGUAGCGAAAUGCGAUACUUGGUGUGAAUUGCAGAAUCCCGUGAACCAUCGAGUAUUUGAACGCAAGUUGCGCCCAAAGCCAUUAGGUUGAGGGCAUGUCUGCCUGGGUGUCACAC